This 252-nucleotide ribosomal RNA is filed under the name uncultured bacterium. Its description in RNAcentral is "partial 16S ribosomal RNA". It matches the Rfam family "Bacterial small subunit ribosomal RNA", at positions 525 to 776 of the family's 1533-position model. The record is from RNAcentral.
ACAUAGGGUGCAAGCGUUGUCCGGAAUUACUGGGCGUAAAGCGUGCGCAGGCGGUUAUAUAAGUCAGAUGUGAAAUCCCCGGGCUCAACCUGGGAACUGCAUUUGAGACUGUAUAGCUAGAGUACGGUAGAGGGGGAUGGAAUUCCGCGUGUAGCAGUGAAAUGCGUAGAUAUGCGGAGGAACACCGAUGGCGAAGGCAAUCCCCUGGACCUGUACUGACGCUCAUGCACGAAAGCGUGGGGAGCAAACAGG